Molecule: transfer RNA, 70 nt
Filed under: Dipodomys ordii (Ord's kangaroo rat)
Lineage: Eukaryota; Metazoa; Chordata; Mammalia; Rodentia; Heteromyidae
Rfam family: tRNA
About the family: Transfer RNA (tRNA) molecules are approximately 80 nucleotides in length. Their secondary structure includes four short double-helical elements and three loops (D, anti-codon, and T loops). Further hydrogen bonds mediate the characteristic L-shaped molecular structure. tRNAs have two regions of fundamental functional importance: the anti-codon, which is responsible for specific mRNA codon recognition, and the 3' end, to which the tRNAs corresponding amino acid is attached (by aminoacyl-tRNA synthetases). tRNAs cope with the degeneracy of the genetic code in two manners: having more than one tRNA (with a specific anti-codon) for a particular amino acid; and 'wobble' base-pairing, i.e. permitting non-standard base-pairing at the 3rd anti-codon position.
Source: Rfam by way of RNAcentral
GGGAAGGUGGCUCAGUGGUAGAGUACUUGCCUUGCAUGCAUGAGGCCCUAGGUUCGAUUCCUCAGCUCCA